RNAcentral lists this ribosomal RNA (372 nucleotides) under Euscorpiops sp. 3 VO-2020. Its description in RNAcentral is "partial large subunit ribosomal RNA". Lineage: Eukaryota; Metazoa; Arthropoda; Arachnida; Scorpiones; Euscorpiidae. The record is from RNAcentral.
AAUCAUUAGUCUUUUAAUUUGAGACUGGAAUGAAUGGUUUGACUAAUUAAUUUUGUCUCAUUUUAAUACCUUGAAUUUUAUGUUUUAGUAAAAAAGCUAAAAUUUUUUUUAAAGACGAGAAGACCCUAUCAAGCUUUAUAAUUAAUUUUUACAUUCAAAGUAAAAUAAGAAUUAUUUUACUGGGGCAGUAGACAAAAAUUUUUUUGUUUAAUCAUUUUGAUAAAUUUAUCUUGAAAAACCAAAAAUUUUUUAAAAAAUAAUAAGUUACUGUAGGGAUAACAGCAUAAUUUUUUUAAAGAGAUCUUAUUAUCAAAAAAGUUUGUGACCUCGAUGUUGGAUUAAGAUUCCUAAUUUGCGCAAUAGUAAACAAGG